This 476-nucleotide ribosomal RNA is filed under the name uncultured bacterium. RNAcentral describes it as "bacterial SSU rRNA". It matches the Rfam family "Bacterial small subunit ribosomal RNA", at positions 335 to 802 of the family's 1533-position model. The record is from RNAcentral.
ACUCCUCGGGAGGGCAGGCAGUGGGGAAUAAUUGCACAAUGGGCGCAAGCCUGAUGCAGCCAUGCCGCGUGUAUGAAGAAGGCCUUCGGGUUGUAAAGUACUUUCAGCAGUGAGGAAGGUGGUAUGUUAAUAGCAUAUUCAUUUGACGUUUAGCUGCAGAAGAAGCACCGGCUAACUCCGUGCCAGCAGCCGCGGUAAUACGGAGGGUGCGAGCGUUAAUCGGAAUUACUGGGCGUAAAGCGCAUGCAGGUGGUUUGUUAAGUCAGAUGUGAAAGCCCGGGGCUCAACCUCGGAAUUGCAUUUGAAACUGGCAAACUAGAGUACUGUAGAGGGGGGUAGAAUUUCAGGUGUAGCGGUGAAAUGCGUAGAGAUCUGAAGGAAUACCGGUGGCGAAGGCGGCCCCCUGGACAGAUACUGACACUCAGAUGCGAAAGCGUGGGGAGCAAACAGGAUUAGAUACCCUGGUAGCUACGAGU